Molecule: ribosomal RNA, 351 nt
Filed under: uncultured Glomeromycotina
Lineage: Eukaryota; Fungi; Glomeromycota
Description: LSU rRNA
Source: RNAcentral
CAGUCGUACCUUCGGGUAAUCAGCCUUUCGGGUGNNAUUCUGUGGAGUUUGAGGAGCUUAACACCUUCAUGCUUUGCAUAUUCGUGCUCUUAGGUGUACUUGCUCGUAUGGUUGGUUAACAUCAAUUUUGGUGGUCAUAAAAUGACUGGAGGAAUGUAGCUUCGAUCUCGUAUUGAAGUGUUAUAGCCUUCGGUAGAUGUGAUGAUCGAGAUUGAGGAUUGCAACGGAUACCCUUCGGGGCUACCUGUCUGAUCUCUGAUCGUUGCUCUGGUGCCGAAAGCUUGCUUACGGUUGUCAAAGUCGAUGGUCAAUAGGUUAGAAUGGGUUAAAUUCGUUAAGGAUGUUGACGUA